Molecule: transfer RNA, 66 nt
Filed under: Rhinebothrium sp. 1
Lineage: Eukaryota; Metazoa; Platyhelminthes; Cestoda; Rhinebothriidea; Rhinebothriidae
Description: tRNA-Asn
Source: RNAcentral
GUCUGUAUAGAUUAUUGUAAUAAAUCGUGAUGCUGUUAACUUCAAGAAGAAAUGUUUCUGCAGUCG